This 429-nucleotide ribosomal RNA is filed under the name Gemmatimonadota bacterium. RNAcentral describes it as "Gemmatimonadetes bacterium partial 16S ribosomal RNA". It matches the Rfam family "Bacterial small subunit ribosomal RNA", at positions 355 to 776 of the family's 1533-position model. Lineage: Bacteria; Pseudomonadati; Gemmatimonadota. The record is from RNAcentral.
UAGGGAAUCUUCGGCAAUGGACGAAAGUCUGACCGAGCAACGCCGCGUGAGUGAAGAAGGUUUUCGGAUCGUAAAACUCUGUUGUUAGAGAAGAACAAGGACGUUAGUAACUGAACGUCCCCUGACGGUAUCAAACCAGAAAGCCACGGCUAACUACGUGCCAGCAGCCGCGGUAAUACGUAGGUGGCAAGCGUUGUCCGGAUUUAUUGGGCGUAAAGCGAGCGCAGGCGGUUUCUUAAGUCUGAUGUGAAAGCCCCCGGCUCAACCGGGGAGGGUCAUUGGAAACUGGGAGACUUGAGUGCAGAAGAGGAGAGUGGAAUUCCAUGUGUAGCGAUGAAAUGCGUAGAUAUAUGGAGGAACACCAGUGGCGAAGGCGGCUCUCUGGUCUGUAACUGACGCUGAGGCUCGAAAGCGUGGGGAGCAAACAGG